UUUUAGGAUUACAACAAGAUGUACCUGAUACAAUCAUAGUUACAAAGAAUACAACACAAGCAAAAAUCUUGUUACUUGAGAUUUCUAAGAUAUACAAGUGUAAGACGAUCUCGAGUCUACGUGCAAUACAACAAAUCUUUAUAUAGAGGGCACAAAAGAGACGUUGGAAGCUUGCUUGCACUAGUGUCUUUGCUAAAAAAGCGGUUUCCAAGAGAGAGACGAUGGAUAG
Long non-coding RNA from Vicia villosa (hairy vetch), 229 nucleotides. RefSeq lists it as uncharacterized. The record is from RefSeq and is a predicted model, not a curated record. NCBI's taxonomy places the organism in Eukaryota, Viridiplantae, Streptophyta, Magnoliopsida, Fabales, Fabaceae. The transcript has 2 exons.